GGUCUGUUAGGACUCUAGCUAGGAGGGUCCUAAUUGAGAGGGACAUUCAUGCAAAACCUACCUAAGCCGACCCCUAUUAAAGAGAUGAAGAGGCUGGCUAGGGUUAGGAGGUUUUUUCUUAGAGAAGAAUUAGGAGUUGUAAGGGAAUAGGAGUCUUGAGUAGGAGUCCUACUAGGAGUUGGUUAGAAGUAAGAGUCUUAAGUAGGAGUCCUAUUAGGAGUUAGGGUUUAGAAGCCCUAUAAAUAGCCAUGUAUUCCGUCUCUUUUCUUAAGCAAUAGAUGAAUCUUUUCUACAGCCUUUGAG
RNAcentral lists this long non-coding RNA (303 nucleotides) under Musa acuminata (dwarf banana). RNAcentral describes it as "long non-coding RNA (MACU_LNC009732)". The record is from RNAcentral. Lineage: Eukaryota; Viridiplantae; Streptophyta; Magnoliopsida; Zingiberales; Musaceae.